AUUGAACGCUGGCGGCAUGCUUUACACAUGCAAGUCGGACGGCAGCACAGAGAAGCUUGCUUCUUGGGUGGCGAGUGGCGAACGGGUGAGUAACAUAUCGGAACGUACCGAGCAGUGGGGGAUAACUAAUCGAAAGAUUAGCUAAUACCGCAUAUUUUCUGAGGAAGAAAGCAGGGGACCAUUUGGCCUUGCGCUGUUUGAGCGGCCGAUAUCUGAUUAGCUAGUUGGUGGGGUAAAGGCCUACCAAGGCGACGAUCAGUAGCGGGUCUGAGAGGAUGAUCCGCCACACUGGGACUGAGACACGGCCCAGACUCCUACGGGAGGCAGCAGUGGGGAAUUUUGGACAAUGGGCGCAAGCCUGAUCCAGCCAUGCCGCGUGUCUGAAGAAGGCCUUCGGGUUGUAAAGGACUUUUGUCAGGGAAGAAAAGGGCGGGGUUAAUACCCCUGUCUGAU
This 453-nucleotide ribosomal RNA is filed under the name Neisseria flava. RNAcentral's name for it is "bacterial SSU rRNA". It matches the Rfam family "Bacterial small subunit ribosomal RNA", at positions 30 to 477 of the family's 1533-position model. The record is from RNAcentral. Lineage: Bacteria; Pseudomonadati; Pseudomonadota; Betaproteobacteria; Neisseriales; Neisseriaceae.